AUAUUGGUCAAUGGGCGAGAGCCUGAACCAGCCAAGUAGCGUGAAGGAUGAAGGCUCUAUGGGUCGUAAACUUCUUUUAUAUGGGAAUAAAGUUUUCCACGUGUGGAAUUUUGUAUGUACCAUAUGAAUAAGGAUCGGCUAACUCCGUGCCAGCAGCCGCGGUAAUACGGAGGAUCCGAGCGUUAUCCGGAUUUAUUGGGUUUAAAGGGAGCGUAGGUGGAUUGUUAAGUCAGUUGUGAAAGUUUGCGGCUCAACCGUAAAAUUGCAGUUGAAACUGGCAGUCUUGAGUACAGUAGAGGUGGGCGGAAUUCGUGGUGUAGCGGUGAAAUGCUUAGAUAUCACGAAGAACUCCGAUUGCGAAGGCAGCUCACUAGACUGUCACUGACACUGAUGCUCGAAAGUGUGGGUAUCAAACAGG
RNAcentral lists this ribosomal RNA (418 nucleotides) under uncultured bacterium. RNAcentral's name for it is "bacterial SSU rRNA". It matches the Rfam family "Bacterial small subunit ribosomal RNA", at positions 361 to 776 of the family's 1533-position model. The record is from RNAcentral.